UACGGAGGGUGCGAGCGUUAAUCGGAAUUACUGGGCGUAAAGGGUGCGUAGGCGGCGCUGUAAGUUACUUGUGAAAUUCCUGGGCUCAACCUGGGGUGGACGGGUGAUACUGCGGUGCUAGAGUAUAGGAGAGGGCAGUGGAAUUUCCGGUGUAGCGGUGAAAUGCGUAGAUAUCGGAAGGAACACCGGUGGCGAAGGCGGCUGUCUGGCCUGAUACUGACGCUGAGGCACGAAAGCGUGGGGAGCGAACAGG
RNAcentral lists this ribosomal RNA (253 nucleotides) under uncultured bacterium. Its description in RNAcentral is "partial 16S ribosomal RNA". It matches the Rfam family "Bacterial small subunit ribosomal RNA", at positions 524 to 776 of the family's 1533-position model. The record is from RNAcentral.